Long non-coding RNA from Acanthochromis polyacanthus (spiny chromis), 872 nucleotides. RefSeq lists it as uncharacterized. Lineage: Eukaryota; Metazoa; Chordata; Actinopteri; Pomacentridae. The transcript is spliced from 2 exons. The record is from RefSeq and is a predicted model, not a curated record.
AUCUCCGCUACCUGAAACCAUGAGCAGGGUUACAGGUGAUGGUCUGCUGAGGUUAGUUGGGCUCCAUGUAUGUUCUUGAUCUCUAUGAUGGACACCACUGGAGGACUGGAUUAAAGCAGUGUUUACGACUCCUGAUGAUUGACAGGAACAACAGGAAACCACAACAGGCUCCUUCCUCCAACAGAAAACAUUGCACCUGAUUGGACAAACAUUUCACUGCUGUUCUGCUCAAACUGGACCAACAUGGUGGCUCAUCUGCUGCUGGUUUGUUUAAAGGUUUCUUCAGAGUUUCAGCUGAUUUAGAUAAAGAAGUCUAAAGCUCAGCUGGAUGUAAACCAGGAGGUCUCUAAACACACCACGAGAUUGUAGGGUUCAUGUUUGGCUACUUUCCCUGUGAUUGUAGAGAUCAUGUGUGGUAUCUGAUCUGUUACAUGUAUUACUUAAUAAGUUAGUAGACUGGAAUCUGUUUUGUUUGUUAUAGCAUUUGAAAGGAGAUGCAGUGUUUGCUCUGGUGUCUCUGACCACAGAUGGAACCUGCAUUAUAUUCUACCCAUGCCAUGGGAAAGUGUUCUCCUGUUUACAGAGCCCUGUUGGAGGUGUUUUUAUGAGGGUUCUUCUGUCUAAAAUACUGAUUUAGGGAUUCUUCAGCUGUUGUAGACAAGGGGGAGUUGUUUGGGGAUGCUCUCUGCUUUCCCCAUAUGGUAGGCAAUAAAGAACCAUUUGUUUUAACCCCUCCUAUAUGUUGAAAACCUAUAAAACCUGAUUGCUGGUCAUUGUCAAGCAAAGAGGGAUUCAAUUGGCCGACUCCUUCCAGGCAGGUUCUGUCUGUACUGAUGCUGCUCUUUCCUUUAAUAAAAUACUUUUAAAGAAAG